This 254-nucleotide ribosomal RNA is filed under the name uncultured bacterium. RNAcentral describes it as "partial 16S ribosomal RNA". It matches the Rfam family "Bacterial small subunit ribosomal RNA", at positions 524 to 776 of the family's 1533-position model. The record is from RNAcentral.
UACGUAGGGGGCGAGCGUUGUCCGGAUUUAUUGGGCGUAAAGAGCUCGUAGGCGGUUUGGUAAGUCGGGUGUGAAAACCCCAGGCUCAACCUGGGGACGCCACCUGAUACUGCUAUGACUUGAGUCUGGUAGGGGACCACGGAAUUCCUGGUGUAGCGGUGAAAUGCGUAGAUAUCUGGAAGAACACCGGUGGCGAAGGCGGCAUUCUGGACUGCAACUGACACUGAAAGACGAAAGCCAGGGGAGCAAACGGG